This 377-nucleotide unclassified non-coding RNA is filed under the name plant metagenome. RNAcentral describes it as "partial contains 5.8S ribosomal RNA, internal transcribed spacer 2, and large subunit ribosomal RNA". The stretch from base 1 to 104 matches the Rfam family "5.8S ribosomal RNA", at positions 51 to 154 of the family's 154-position model. The record is from RNAcentral.
AAAUGCGAUAAGUAAUGUGAAUUGCAGAAUUCAGUGAAUCAUCGAAUCUUUGAACGCACCUUGCGCUCCUUGGUAUUUCUUGGAGCAUGCCUGUUUGAGUAUCAUGAAAUCUUCAAAGUAAAUCUUUUGUUAACUCAAUUGGUUUCUACUUUGGUAUUGGAGGUCUUUGCAGCUUCACACCUGCUCCUCUUUGUUCAUUAGCUGGAUCUCAGUGUUAUGCUUGGUUCCACUCGGCGUGAUAAGUUAUCUAUCGCUGAGGACACUGUAAAAGGUGGCCAAGGUAAAUGCAGAUGAACCGCUUCUAAUAGUCCAUUGACUUGGACAAUACUUUUAUGAUCUGAUCUCAAAUCAGGUAGGACUACCCGCUGAACUUAAGC